This 253-nucleotide ribosomal RNA is filed under the name uncultured bacterium. RNAcentral's name for it is "partial 16S ribosomal RNA". It matches the Rfam family "Bacterial small subunit ribosomal RNA", at positions 524 to 776 of the family's 1533-position model. The record is from RNAcentral.
UACGUAGGUUGCAAGCGUUGUCCGGAUUUAUUGGGUUUAAAGGGUGCGUAGGCGGUUCUGUAAGUCAGUGGUGAAAUACAAUAGCUUAACUAUUGAGGUGCCAUUGAUACUGCGGAACUUGAGUACAGACGAGGUAGGCGGAAUUGACGGUGUAGCGGUGAAAUGCUUAGAUAUCGUCAAGAACACCGAUAGCGAAGGCAGCUUACUAGACUGUAACUGACGCUGAGGCACGAAAGUGUGGGGAUCAAACAGG